GGAAAGUGAGCUACAGGAUAGAAAGCUGCGGGUCUGCGCAGCCUGGGUGCACAGAGUACCUGUAAUGCCUGUGGUGCCGGCCGGGAGGGUCGGGCCCAGAAGAAGGCAGACUAGCCCCUGCCCUGCCCAACUUCAGUCCAGCCAAAGAGAAGUAAACGAGGGAGUGGGUGUUAGGUAAGGAAAGUACCCUGACCGGACGGGUUAGGUGAGAAGGUUUCUUGGAGGAACUGAGACCGGAAGAUGGAGGGAAUUCGCUAGGCCAGAGGCGGGAGGGUGCCCAGGGGAGGGGACAGAGUUCCAGUAAGAGAAAAUAGCAGGCCUCGGUGAGAGGAUCACCAUAGGUUCACACCUCUAGAGGCUUUUAAAGUGGGAACGUGGCAUAAUCAGAUCUACAUUUCAUAAAGGUCACUCUGCAGAGUGCAUUGGGAGAAGAUCAGACUAGAGACAGGAAAAUCAGAAGACUGGCAUUGAUGUGGACUAGGAUGGGGGCAGUGAGGAUGAAGAGACAGGGGUGGAUUUGAAAGAUGUUUUGCACAUAGAAUUAACAAAUUUUGGAUGAGGUGGCAGGGUAGGUGAGAAUUCAAGAGAAUGAAGAGUAAAGAUGAUUUAUUUCUGCAUCAGCAAGGUCAAUGGUGACCAUACAAGUUAUCGCUCUCUCCCCUCCAUAUUUUUAGCACUUUCAGAGCUGUUACCUUACUGCCUUGAGUGUUUCUCUUUUGCGUAGAGAAUUUAUUGCUGUUCCAGAUUAGAGGUUCCUUGAAGAAAUGGACAUCUUCAGGUUUUCCUUUGUUUAGAUUGUACCGCAAAUUACCCAUUUGAUCAUUUGCUGAAUGAUCCAAUGAAUCAAUGGCCCCAAGGGUUUGAUCCUCAAAACUAAAAAAAAAGCUGUCAGAAAGGCCAGUCCUCAAGAUGUAGAUUUUACAGUCAUGUGCCCCAUAAUGACAUUUUGAUCAUCGAUGGACUACAUAUAUAACAUUGGUCCCAUAAGAUUAUAAUGGAGCUGAAAAAUUCUUAUCACCUAGUGACAAAGCCAUUGUAACAUUGUACCGCAAUGUAUUACUCACAUGUUUGUUGUGAUGCUGGUGUAAACAAACCUACCAUGCUGCCAGUCAUAUAAAAAGAUAGCACACAUGAUUAUGUGCAAUACAUAAUACUUCAAAAUGAUAAUAAACGACUGUUACUGGUUCAUAUAUUUACUGUAUUAUACUUUUUAUCAUUAUUUUAGAGUGCAUUCCUUCUACUUAUAAGAAAAGUUAACUGUCAGCCUCAGGCAGGCCUUUCAGGAGGUAUUCCAUAAGAGCAUUGUCAUCACAGGAGAUGACAGCUCCGGGUGUGUUAUUGCCCCUGAAGACCUUCCAAUGGGACAAGAUGUGGAGGUGGAAGACAGUGACACUGAUGAUCCUGACUCUGUCUGGCAGAUACAAUCUGCUGAGCGUCGGGAACACAAGCUGCUGAGCAUCGGGGAUACAAGUGGCUGAGCGUCAAGCCGAGAAGCAGCAACUGAACAUCAGAGACUAACGAUAGACAUGGCUAACUUCAGAUGGUGUGGCUUCAGGGAAACAUCACCUUCUUCCUGCACUACCUCCUUUCCAAUUCCCCAUCCCACUGAGAGCCACGCUUAUUGCCCAAUAAAAUCCUCCGUGUAUACUACCCUUCAA
This is a long non-coding RNA of Pan troglodytes (chimpanzee), 1658 nucleotides long. RefSeq lists it as uncharacterized. NCBI's taxonomy places the organism in Eukaryota, Metazoa, Chordata, Mammalia, Primates, Hominidae. The transcript is spliced from 2 exons. The record is from RefSeq and is a predicted model, not a curated record.